UACAGAGGGUGCGAGCGUUAAUCGGAAUUACUGGGCGUAAAGCGCGCGUAGGCGGCUUUGCAAGUCGGGUGUGAAAUCCCCAGGCUUAACCUGGGAACUGCAUUCGAGACUGCAUUGCUAGAGUAUGGGAGAGGGAAGUGGAAUUUCCGGUGUAGCGGUGAAAUGCGUAGAUAUAGGAAGGAAUACCAGUGGCGAAGGCGGCCUCCUGGAUCAACACUGACGCUGAGGUGCGGAAGCGUGGGGAGCAAACAGG
This 253-nucleotide ribosomal RNA is filed under the name uncultured bacterium. Its description in RNAcentral is "partial 16S ribosomal RNA". It matches the Rfam family "Bacterial small subunit ribosomal RNA", at positions 524 to 776 of the family's 1533-position model. The record is from RNAcentral.